Molecule: unclassified non-coding RNA, 306 nt
Filed under: Hevea brasiliensis (rubber tree)
Lineage: Eukaryota; Viridiplantae; Streptophyta; Magnoliopsida; Malpighiales; Euphorbiaceae
Source: RNAcentral
GGAGAGGUUUAUGGUGGCAGAGAGGAGAGUGUGGAAGGUGGAUGGGGAGAGGGCUGGGUAUGUGCAGAGGUAUGGGAGCUUGAGCCAUGUGGUCCUGUCGGGUUGCGGCCACAUUGCUGCUGCUGAUCGGAGGCAAAAUGUGCAGGCCAUGAUUGAAGAUUGGGUAAUGGAGAAGGGCUACUUUGGCAAUGAGUCACCUGCUGAGAAAGAUCCUGGCUUGUCGAGAUCUUACUGAAUCCUACUUAUCUCGGCUUGGAUGAUGAAGAAGUGCUUUCAGAAUCUGGAUUAAUAGUAAGUUGUACUUCC